RNAcentral lists this ribosomal RNA (293 nucleotides) under uncultured bacterium. RNAcentral's name for it is "partial 16S ribosomal RNA". It matches the Rfam family "Archaeal small subunit ribosomal RNA", at positions 455 to 747 of the family's 1478-position model. The record is from RNAcentral.
GUUUCAGCAGCCGCGGUAACACCGGCAGCUCAAGUGGUGGCCGUUUUUAUUGGGCCUAAAGCGUUCGUAGCCGGCCUGAUAAGUCUCUGGUGAAAUCCCAUAGCUUAACUGUGGGAAUUGCUGGAGAUACUAUUAGGCUUGAGAUCGGGAGAGGUUAGGGGUACUCCCAGGGUAGGGGUGAAAUCCUAUAAUCCUGGGAGGACCACCUGUGGCGAAGGCGCCUAACUGGAACGAAUCUGACGGUGAGUAACGAAAGCCAGGGGCGCGAACCGGAUUAGAUACCCUCGUAGUCC